This 1321-nucleotide small RNA is filed under the name Cryptococcus neoformans H99. Its description in RNAcentral is "Cryptococcus neoformans var. grubii H99 hypothetical RNA". The record is from RNAcentral. Lineage: Eukaryota; Fungi; Basidiomycota; Tremellomycetes; Tremellales; Cryptococcaceae.
GACGGAUGUUCUAUUCACCGCAAAGGCGAGGCUAAACCUAGCUAAGUGAUAAUGCUAUAGCAUCGUUCUGGAGGAUCUUUGAACUGAAUAUUAUGCUCUACCAUAGUCACAAGGUGAGGCAUUAUGCAAGUAUGGAGAAUUUAUUGCCUUGUCGGACAGAGUACCGAUAAGCAGAUAAGAACUUAUCAACACGGACCUUCCGCUGCCGACUUACGCCGAAAGCGCUGAUAUCGCGACAUUCUUUCCUCCGUCCGUAAUAUACCUUUCAACUAGCAACUACAGCUGUGUUCCGCUGGCUAUUUGCUGUUCUUGCUCCGUGAAAGUAAGUUAUCGCUUUGUCUUUUUCCCGCAGUGUUAAAGCUGCUGGCUGCUGGAGAAAUUGUUCAGCAAAGCAUAAAUCAACAGCCCAGUUCAAAGCCCUCUUUGCUAUGUUUUCCCAACCAUCCACCAUCCCAUUCCAUCCGCCCUUCUUUUGAUCUCUCAGGACAUGAUCGGCCCCAUCGACCCGGUCAAUUUCAAUCGACAACCCUUGCUCUUUCAUGUCAUUUUCUAAUGUCAAGCUCUCUUCGAUGGGCACCAAAAGGUCUUCCUUGCCAUGUAACACAUAAGUGGGAGGAGUAUCUGGUGUGAUGGGGAGCAAUAACCAUCGUUUCUCCUCUGGUAUCAUUCUAGCCUAGACUGAUGCGGUACUUGAGCGAGUCGGGCUGAGAUUCCAGGCUCAGAUAAGACAUAGCCAAGGAAGAUGCCCGCUUUUGCCAUGCGAUCCAGAGAUUGAAACGUCCCAGCUCGCCGGUCACCUUCCCAUCAACCAGCACACUCUCGACUUCGGAUACCACAGCUCCACCACCUGUCUUCAUUAACUCAUCUGCCUUGGCCAUGUCAUGAAGUGUUAUAUCGAGGGGCAUGGUUCUCUCCACAUCAACGCCAUUGAUCCAGAAAUCGAGGAGCCAAUCACCACCCAUCCCGAACAAGUCUAGCCAGCCAAUGGGCCUAGGGACGAUACUGCUGAGGGUUGCUGCCGCUCGCGCCGGGUAAUUGCCCCCUGAUACGCCCACAACCACUAUACCCGAAGUAUCCAGGGAGAGGCCUUUGGAACAGGAUGAAUGAUAGCUCGGUUUCGGCAGAAGCGAUAUAUAUGAAAAGCGACCGCACGUCCUCUAUUAUAUCGUCCGCAGAGGACGGGAAAAGUAAUCGGUAGUUGAGGAGGAUGAGUAGGAUUUUCCGAGAUUGAAGAUAGACUGAGUAUCUUUAUGAGUUUCCAGCAGGACUGGGUGAGAGAGAUAUGUAUACUUACCUGGCAUGAAUGAUGGAUAGAUAUCGC